Molecule: ribosomal RNA, 86 nt
Filed under: Verticillium dahliae
Lineage: Eukaryota; Fungi; Ascomycota; Sordariomycetes; Glomerellales; Plectosphaerellaceae
Description: partial 18S ribosomal RNA
Rfam family: Eukaryotic small subunit ribosomal RNA
Source: RNAcentral
ACCUGGUUGAUUCUGCCAGUAGUCAUAUGCUUGUCUCAAAGAUUAAGCCAUGCAUGUCUAAGUAUAAGCAAUUACAAAGCGAAACU